Long non-coding RNA from Hordeum vulgare subsp. vulgare (domesticated barley), 579 nucleotides. RefSeq lists it as uncharacterized. NCBI's taxonomy places the organism in Eukaryota, Viridiplantae, Streptophyta, Magnoliopsida, Poales, Poaceae. The record is from RefSeq and is a predicted model, not a curated record. The transcript has 2 exons.
UUUGCCUGUAUACAUCAGUUCUGCUCUUCGACGGCCCUCUCUCGAAGAAAGGUUCGGCGUGCUCGCGGAUCUCUGUUCGCGGAGUCCCCAACCCCAACCAUGGUCAGCGCAAGCAAAAAAGAAGAAGAAGGAAAAAAAAAAAGGAAACCAACCAUGGCGAUGGGCGAAACUUCAAUGGCGAGCAGCGGCCAUGGCAACCCCGUCGCCCCAUCCGAUGAAUCCAAAAGGGGAUCAGGGGAACCAGAGGGGUGUACAACAGUGGUAUCACCAAAUCACAAAUCUUUUGCUUACAUCAGCAAGUGUAUAUAGUUUCAAUAUACUAAAGUUUAGGUCCAGAUUUCUUGAAUCCGUGGUGCUUCAGUUAUAUGAUUAGGGACAAUUCAAUAUUCUAUUAUUCCAAAAAUAAAGUUUUAACAGUGGUAUUGCAGUUUCAACUUGCGCUUGUAUACAGUUUUAUUUUCUAAUCAGACUCAGAGUGGAAAUUUCAUUUUCUUUCUAUUGUAAUAUUGUCAACUUGGGAGUAAGUGCUUCUUUUAUUUGAAUCAGGAUUGGUGUGCCACUCUGCGAAAUCUGCAAACA